RNAcentral lists this ribosomal RNA (505 nucleotides) under uncultured bacterium. RNAcentral's name for it is "partial 16S ribosomal RNA". It matches the Rfam family "Bacterial small subunit ribosomal RNA", at positions 28 to 507 of the family's 1533-position model. The record is from RNAcentral.
GACGAACGCUGGCGGCGUGCCUAAUACAUGCAAGUAGAACGCACAGUUUAUACCGUAGCUUGCUACACCAUAAACUGUGAGUUGCGAACGGGUGAGUAACGCGUAGGUAACCUGCCUGGUAGCGGGGGAUAACUAUUGGAAACGAUAGCUAAUACCGCAUAAUAUUGAUUAUUGCAUGAUAAUUGAUUGAAAGAUGCUAUUGCAUCACUACCAGAUGGACCUGCGUUGUAUUAGCUAGUAGGUGAGGUAACGGCUCACCUAGGCGACGAUACAUAGCCGACCUGAGAGGGUGAUCGGCCACACUGGGACUGAGACACGGCCCAGACUCCUACGGGAGGCAGCAGUAGGGAAUCUUCGGCAAUAGACGAAAGUCUGACCGAGCAACGCCGCGUGAGUGAAGAAGGUUUUCGGAUCGUAAAGCUCUGUUGUAAGAGAAGAACGGGGGUGAGAGUGGAAAGUUCACACUGUGACGGUAUCUUACCAGAAAGGGACGGCUAACUACGUG